RNAcentral lists this ribosomal RNA (520 nucleotides) under uncultured Glomus. RNAcentral describes it as "SSU rRNA". It matches the Rfam family "Eukaryotic small subunit ribosomal RNA", at positions 569 to 1092 of the family's 1831-position model. The record is from RNAcentral. Lineage: Eukaryota; Fungi; Glomeromycota; Glomeromycetes; Glomerales; Glomeraceae.
AGCAGCCGCGGUAAUUCCAGCUCCAAUAGCGUAUAUUAAAGUUGUUGCAGUUAAAAAGCUCGUAGUUGAAUUUCGGGAUCAAUAUGUUGGUCGUGCCUUGGGUACGUACUAGUUUAUUGGUUUCUUCCUUCUGGCGAACCAUGAUGUCAUUAAUUUGGUGUCUUGGGGAAUCAGGACUGUUACUUUGAAAAAAUUAGAGUGUUUAAAGCAGGCUCACGCUUGAAUACAUUAGCAUGGAAUAAUGAAAUAGGACGUUUGAUUCUAUUUUGUUGGUUUCUAGGAUCGACGUAAUGAUUAAUAGGGAUAGUUGGGGGCAUUAGUAUUCAAUUGUCAGAGGUGAAAUUCUUGGAUUUAUUGAAGACUAACUACUGCGAAAGCAUUUGCCAGGAUGUUUUCAUUAAUCAAGAACGAAAGUUAGGGGAUCGAAGACGAUCAGAUACCGUCGUAGUCUUAACCNUAAACUAUGCCGACUAGGGAUCGGAUGAUGUUAAUUUUUUAAUGACUCAUUCGGCGCCUUAAC